This is a long non-coding RNA of Arabidopsis thaliana (thale cress), 200 nucleotides long. RefSeq annotates it as other RNA. NCBI's taxonomy places the organism in Eukaryota, Viridiplantae, Streptophyta, Magnoliopsida, Brassicales, Brassicaceae. The transcript has a single exon. The record is from RefSeq.
AGUUAUUUGAUUAGAAAGACUGAUCCUUGUUCACAAUUAGGGUUUGUAAAUCAAAACAACCGAUAGUAGUUUUCAACAGGACGAAACAAUCUAUAAAGCAAAAAAGGCUCACGCAUAAACUUAGAGAGGGAAGGAGUUCAAAGGGAUCUUCCUUGUAUCCUAUAUUUCUCAUAUCAACUUACAAGCAUAUUCUCUUUGGU